GACGGAGGGUGCAAGCGUUGCUCGGAAUCAUUGGGCGUAAAGGGUGCGUAGGCGGCUUCUUAAGUCUGACGUGAAAGCCCAGGGCCUAGCCUUGGAAGUGCGUCAGAAACUGAGAAGCUUGAGUGCCGGAGGGGAGAGUGGAAUUCCUGGUGUAGCGGUGAAAUGCGUAGAUAUCAGGAGGAAUACCGGUGGCGAAAGCGACUCUCUGGACGGCAACUGACGCUGAGGCACGAAAGCGUGGGUAGCAAACAGG
This 253-nucleotide ribosomal RNA is filed under the name uncultured bacterium. RNAcentral's name for it is "partial 16S ribosomal RNA". It matches the Rfam family "Bacterial small subunit ribosomal RNA", at positions 524 to 776 of the family's 1533-position model. The record is from RNAcentral.